UUUUUUAUUGAUGUUCAAUUUGCCAACAUAUAGAAUAACACCCAGUGCUCAUCCCAUCAAGUGCCCCCCUCAGUGUCCCGUCACCCAUUCACCCCCACCUUUUUAUGGAUAUACAAAGUUAAUCAACUUUAUAAAAUUCUGAAAGAAGCUGUUUCUUUUUUUAGUUAUUUGUAAAUUACAAAACUGUCAAGCUUCAUAGGCUCAUUCAUUUGUUGUAUCCUUGAUUUAUAGUGUAGAUCCAUAGAAGUCAUUUUAGUGAAACUAAAUACCCAAAUACAAACUAUGCAUUACAUUAAUAGACAAUAGGCUCUUGAAUAAGAGUGAGAGAAUAAGAGAAAUACAAGGAAUGGUGUCUUGCUAUUUUUAGUUGGCUUUUCCUGUUGUCCAGGUCCUCUGAGAACUGGGUGGGAAUCUAGAUUUAUUGAGUCCAGUCUACAUCAAGCAUUCUGUGAGCCUGUUGACAUACAUUAUCUCUUUUAUUGCUCAUAACAAUCCUAUUCCUAUGUGUAUUGUUAUCUUCCUAUUUUAGAUGUAGAAAUAAAUUUGUAGAAUAAAGUAUCAUCCUUAAUGUCUCACAGUGAUAAUACAUGAUGGCACCAGGAUUCCAAUCUGGUUAUUCUAAGAGCUGAGGUCUUUCCUCAAUGCAUUGUGCUCAAUCCUUUACUCCAGACCUUGAUAUGCCCACAUAUGCCAUGUCUGUGUUACAUGUAUAAUUUGUACAUGUGUGUAAUACAAAAAUUCUUUAUCAGCCACUAACAGGAAAUUGCACAUUAAAAAUAAAUAAAACAUUUAAGGCAUUACCAUUAAAGAAAGGAAAAAGAUUUAGAUGUAUAUUGCCAAUACAGCAUUGAACAUUAUUCAGGAGACUCAGGCUAAUGUAAAAGGAGUAUAAACAUUGAAAAGAAAGAAACAAGUCACUUUUGCAGACCUUAUGUUAUAUAUCAAGAAAAUUCAUGGGAAUUAAAUAAAUUCAUUUCAGUAGCUAUUCAUGUUUAAGAUAAAUAUUUUUAACAGUUAACAUUUUCUUUUUAAACCAAAAGUAACUGGUUACUGAAAUAACUGGAAAAUCUCCAUUCACACUAGAAAAAAUAAUGUAAAUGACUAGAAAUAAGCUUAACAUGAAGAAUAAAACUUAUAUUUAAAAAAAGAACUAUAAAGCAUUAAGGUAUCACACACCAAAAGAUCUAAGUAUAGAUACAUGUUCCUAGAUAAAAGGUUUCACUGUUAUAUAAGUUGGGUCCAAAUUAAUCUAUAAAUGCAAUGCAUUCCCAAAACAUUGUAGAAGAGACUUGACAAGUUAAUUCUAAUACAUCAGAAAAGUGGAGAUUAUUUUUUAAAGAAAAAAAUUAUUUUUAAGACCCACAGUACAUAAAAUAUUGUGGUAAUAGCAUAAAAGUAAUUAAGUAGGUCAAAGCAGAGUAUAUGCAAAUAGAGCCAUGACUGAAAGAUAAUUUGGUGUAUGAUAAAAAGGAUAUUUCAGUUCAAGGAGGAAAGGAUAGAGCUAGCUAUUCCAACAUUAGGGGGAAGGGAUGUGGAAUAUAGCCUUCAUUAGCCCACUUGAAAAUGAGUGAAAAAUAUGAUCAGAUAAUUUACAGACUUGAUAAUACAAAUGAGGCAAUAAGUUAUAUAGUAGCCCUAAUACAUGCACAAAAAAUAAUAUUGGAUAUCAAAGAAUUUUCUAUAAAAUUUUAAAACAUACAAUUAACAGGAGAAAAUGAAGGAAAAUAUAUCUAUAACUCUAGAGUGGGUUGCCUUCCUACACAAGAUAUAUUAUUAAAAAGCAAUAAAUGACCAGUCAAUCUGACUGCAUCAACCAUAAGAUUUCUGUAUAGCAGAAGAUAUAUACAGUGUUAAAAGACAAUGAACAGCAAUAUUUU
This 1877-nucleotide long non-coding RNA is filed under the name Canis lupus familiaris (dog). RNAcentral's name for it is "lncRNA (ENSCAFG00000055074.1, ENSCAFG00845004513.1)". Lineage: Eukaryota; Metazoa; Chordata; Mammalia; Carnivora; Canidae. The record is from RNAcentral.